AGCUUUGCACAGUGGCAGUAUCAUAACCAAUGAAGUUAAUCUGAGGUGUGAUUAUUGCUAGUGAAAAUCCGCUCCUCUCCCCCUUCCUGGUGGUAGAUGGUACAGUACUACUGUAGACAGCAAAACUG
RNAcentral lists this small nuclear RNA (128 nucleotides) under Chelonoidis abingdonii (Abingdon island giant tortoise). RNAcentral's name for it is "U4 spliceosomal RNA (ENSCABG00000003711.1)". It matches the Rfam family "U4 spliceosomal RNA". Rfam says of the family: U4 small nuclear RNA (U4 snRNA) is a component of the major U2-dependent spliceosome. The record is from RNAcentral. Lineage: Eukaryota; Metazoa; Chordata; Testudines; Testudinidae.